RNAcentral lists this long non-coding RNA (907 nucleotides) under Citrus x clementina. RNAcentral's name for it is "Citrus clementina (C. clementina) long non-coding RNA (CCLE_LNC005559)". The record is from RNAcentral. Lineage: Eukaryota; Viridiplantae; Streptophyta; Magnoliopsida; Sapindales; Rutaceae.
UUUUUUUGGCCAGUGGGGGCUUGAGCCCCCACUGGUCAUGUGCUGCAUCCGCCUCUGCAUACGAUCCAACAUCACUUGAACGAGUCUCUGGACCUACCGUUGACGUGGUUGACUUGAAAUUAUUUCAUUUCAAGUGACGACUAAAUACAAGUUUCAUUUUUAAAUUAAUCUGAAUGUGAAACAAAUUUUAGUAACUAUUUGCUUUAUUUUCUUUCAAAUUAGAUGAAGAAAUUAAUAGUCGCUGUUUUGUUGGGUGAGCUUUUGGUAAACAAAUCUUGAAGUACGUACUACUAGACGAUUGAAGUUUAAUUACGCUCACUGCAGCUAGUGCUUGAGAGAGCAUACAUAUUUGGUUCACAUGUAUGUAAUAUUUAAGAAAAUCAAUUAAAAGAAAUUAAACAAUGAAGAAGUUAAUAAUACAUAUAAUACUCAAUGAACAAUAUGCAUGACUCGGUCGAGUUGACUUGCUGAGUCCAUGGCCUAAGUGGUCCUCGUUCUUGUCUUAAGCUGCUUAUGCGACCAUCAUCAAUUCAAUGUUCAAUUUUAGACUACAGAACAAAUCAUCAUCAUCAAUUCAAUGUUCAAUUUUAGACUAGAGAACAAAUCUAAACGCGUAAUUGAGUAAGAAUCCAAAUGGUAAAUUAGAAACUUGUCUAUGAUUAUUAUCAACGGUUUAGAUCAAAAUUCCUUUAAAUUAACAACAAGAUUGCCCGCAUAAACAUAAUGUCAAACUUAAUAAUUUUUUAACCCCUUAGUCAAUGAUUCGCACUCAGAAUUAGAUUUUAUUGACUAAUAGAAUUAGAUUGGAUUAGUCUAGAUUAUACAUAGUACUCUCUUAGUUCUGUACAAGAGAGGAUUAAACUCUGUUAAAUUAAAUUUGAAUGAAGUUAUUCGUAGAUAUUUAAUG